Molecule: ribosomal RNA, 301 nt
Filed under: uncultured bacterium
Lineage: Bacteria
Description: partial 16S ribosomal RNA
Rfam family: Bacterial small subunit ribosomal RNA
Source: RNAcentral
CAGUAGCCGCGGGAAUACGUAGGUGGCAAGCGUUGUCCGGAAGUAUUGGGCGUAAGGGGCUCGCAGGCGGUUUCUUAAGUCUGAUGUGAAAGCCCCCGGCUCAACCGGGGAGGGUCAUUGGAAACUGGGAAACUUGAGUGCAGAAGAGGGGAGUGGAAUUCCACGUGUAGCGGUGAAAUGCGUAGAGAUGUGGAGGAACACCAGUGGCGAAGGCGACUCUCUGGUCUGUAACUGACGCUGAGGAGCGAAAGCGUGGGGAGCGAACAGGAUUAGAUACCCCUGUAGUCCCUGUCUCUUAUAC